Molecule: long non-coding RNA, 737 nt
Filed under: Phasianus colchicus (ring-necked pheasant)
Lineage: Eukaryota; Metazoa; Chordata; Aves; Galliformes; Phasianidae
Description: lncRNA (ENSPCLG00000001817.1)
Source: RNAcentral
AACAGCACAAGGAGAUGACUGAAACUUAAGGAUGGGUCCAACCGCUUGGCUCUGUGCGAGUGCAAAUAAUGAAAGCCAAGUUGCAUAUUUUGGAAGGAAAUUCCCCUUUACUUGUGACACCCCUUCAGUAGGACCACUAAAGAAUUGCAAUGAUCGGAGGGUUUGAGAGGAGCUGGGCAUGUAUCAUCUUUCAGUCCGAAUCAAUCAAAAUACCAUGAACUGCAGAGUUCAUUUAUCCAGCAAUGCAGAACAAAUCACUUGCUCUUCAGUCAAGAGCAGCCGAUCUGGGACAACCAUCCUGCAGGAGACAAGAAGCUCUCCUACCUGUUUGGCUCAAGUCAAGAGAGAAAGCCAGGCUGGUGCUGGUGAGGCUGUGCAAGUUGAUUUCAGCGGUACAUCAUCACCCAUGUCCCCUGUCAUCUCCUUCUCCUGAGGAUAAUGGAGCAGCUGGCUCUGGGGGAUUUCCCAGCAUAGCCACCCAAUUUCUGCACACCCAGGGAAGCCAAAAUACCAAAACGGAGCAAGAUUAAACAAUUUCUCAUGUAAGUAUGGUGGGAAACUCAGAAAUAUUUGCUUUUCCAUUUAAUAGCAUGCAACUUUCCCUUUAGGACAUACAGAUACAGACUGACACAGAAGUUUUGUAUUGAUUCUUGUUUUGCUUACUCAGUUUUCUUGUCUGUUUUAAGACAAGAAAUGCCUGCUGUGAAACCUAGCUAGAAAGCAAAAGUGAACUAAGA